Non-coding RNA from Hypoxylon sp. FL1150, 82 nucleotides. The record is from the annotation of a GenBank genome assembly. NCBI's taxonomy places the organism in Eukaryota, Fungi, Ascomycota, Sordariomycetes, Xylariales, Hypoxylaceae.
AGUCCUAUAACUCAGCUGGUUAGAGUACCGUGCUUACAAUGUCAAAGUGCGAGAGUCGAGAGUUCGAGCCUCUCUGGGACUG